RNAcentral lists this ribosomal RNA (301 nucleotides) under uncultured bacterium. Its description in RNAcentral is "partial 16S ribosomal RNA". It matches the Rfam family "Bacterial small subunit ribosomal RNA", at positions 509 to 807 of the family's 1533-position model. The record is from RNAcentral.
CAGCAGCCGCGGGAAUACGAAGGGGGCUAGCGUUGUUCGGAUUUACUGGGCGUAAAGGGUGCGUAGGCGGAUUGUUAAGUCAGGGGUGAAAUCCCGAGGCUCAACCUCGGAACUGCCUUUGAUACUGGCGAUCUUGAGUCCGGGAGAGGUGAGUGGAACUGCGAGUGUAGAGGUGAAAUUCGUAGAUAUUCGCAAGAACACCGGUGGCGAAGGCGGCUCACUGGCCCGGAACUGACGCUGAGGCACGAAAGCGUGGGGAGCAAACAGGAUUAGAUACCCGAGUAGUCCCUGUCUCUUAUAC